RNAcentral lists this ribosomal RNA (2927 nucleotides) under Klebsiella grimontii. RNAcentral describes it as "23S ribosomal RNA". It matches the Rfam family "Bacterial large subunit ribosomal RNA". The record is from RNAcentral. Lineage: Bacteria; Pseudomonadati; Pseudomonadota; Gammaproteobacteria; Enterobacterales; Enterobacteriaceae.
GGGUUGUGAGGUUAAGCGACUAAGCGUACACGGUGGAUGCCCUGGCAGUCAGAGGCGAUGAAGGACGUGCUAAUCUGCGAAAAGCGUCGGUAAGGUGAUAUGAACCGUUAUAGCCGGCGAUGUCCGAAUGGGGAAACCCAGUGCAAUUCGUUGCACUAUCGUUUGAUGAAUACAUAGUCAAACGAGGCGAACCGGGGGAACUGAAACAUCUAAGUACCCCGAGGAAAAGAAAUCAACCGAGAUUCCCCCAGUAGCGGCGAGCGAACGGGGAGCAGCCCGGAGUCUGAAUCAGCUUGUGUGUUAGUGGAAGCGUCUGGAAAGUCGCAGGGUACAGGGUGAUACUCCCGUACACUAAAGCACACAGGCUGUGAACUCGAAGAGUAGGGCGGGACACGUGGUAUCCUGUCUGAAUAUGGGGGGACCAUCCUCCAAGGCUAAAUACUCCUGACUGACCGAUAGUGAACCAGUACCGUGAGGGAAAGGCGAAAAGAACCCCGGCGAGGGGAGUGAAAAAGAACCUGAAACCGUGUACGUACAAGCAGUAGGAGCCUCUUUAUGGGGUGACUGCGUACCUUUUGUAUAAUGGGUCAGCGACUUAUAUUCUGUAGCAAGGUUAACCGUAUAGGGGAGCCGCAGGGAAACCGAGUCUUAACUGGGCGUUAAGUUGCAGGGUAUAGACCCGAAACCCGGUGAUCUAGCCAUGGGCAGGUUGAAGGUUGGGUAACACUAACUGGAGGACCGAACCGACUAAUGUUGAAAAAUUAGCGGAUGACUUGUGGCUGGGGGUGAAAGGCCAAUCAAACCGGGAGAUAGCUGGUUCUCCCCGAAAGCUAUUUAGGUAGCGCCUCGUGAACUCAUCUUCGGGGGUAGAGCACUGUUUCGGCUAGGGGGUCAUCCCGACUUACCAACCCGAUGCAAACUACGAAUACCGAAGAAUGUUAUCACGGGAGACACACGGCGGGUGCUAACGUCCGUCGUGAAGAGGGAAACAACCCAGACCGCCAGCUAAGGUCCCAAAGUCAUGGUUAAGUGGGAAACGAUGUGGGAAGGCCCAGACAGCCAGGAUGUUGGCUUAGAAGCAGCCAUCAUUUAAAGAAAGCGUAAUAGCUCACUGGUCGAGUCGGCCUGCGCGGAAGAUGUAACGGGGCUAAACCAUGCACCGAAGCUGCGGCAGCGACACUAUGUGUUGUUGGGUAGGGGAGCGUUCUGUAAGCCGUUGAAGGUGGCCUGUGAGGGUUGCUGGAGGUAUCAGAAGUGCGAAUGCUGACAUAAGUAACGAUAAUGCGGGUGAAAAACCCGCACGCCGGAAGACCAAGGGUUCCUGUCCAACGUUAAUCGGGGCAGGGUGAGUCGACCCCUAAGGCGAGGCCGAAAGGCGUAGUCGAUGGGAAACAGGUUAAUAUUCCUGUACUCGGUGUUACUGCGAAGGGGGGACGGAGAAGGCUAUGUUGGCCGGGCGACGGUUGUCCCGGUUUAAGCAUGUAGGCGGAUGUUCCAGGUAAAUCCGGAACGUUAUUAACGCUGAGGUGUGAUGACGAGGCACUACGGUGCUGAAGUGACAAAUGCCCUGCUUCCAGGAAAAGCCUCUAAGCAUCAGGUAACAUCAAAUCGUACCCCAAACCGACACAGGUGGUCAGGUAGAGAAUACCAAGGCGCUUGAGAGAACUCGGGUGAAGGAACUAGGCAAAAUGGUGCCGUAACUUCGGGAGAAGGCACGCUGAUGGUAAGUGAAGUGACUUGCUCAUGGAGCUGAAAUCAGUCGAAGAUACCAGCUGGCUGCAACUGUUUAUUAAAAACACAGCACUGUGCAAACACGAAAGUGGACGUAUACGGUGUGACGCCUGCCCGGUGCCGGAAGGUUAAUUGAUGGGGUUAUCCGUAAGGAGAAGCUCUUGAUCGAAGCCCCGGUAAACGGCGGCCGUAACUAUAACGGUCCUAAGGUAGCGAAAUUCCUUGUCGGGUAAGUUCCGACCUGCACGAAUGGCGUAAUGAUGGCCAGGCUGUCUCCACCCGAGACUCAGUGAAAUUGAACUCGCUGUGAAGAUGCAGUGUACCCGCGGCAAGACGGAAAGACCCCGUGAACCUUUACUAUAGCUUGACACUGAACACUGGUCCUUGAUGUGUAGGAUAGGUGGGAGGCUUUGAAGUGUGGACGCCAGUCUGCAUGGAGCCAUCCUUGAAAUACCACCCUUUAAUGGCUGGUGUUCUAACGUGGGCCCGUUAUCCGGGUUGCGGACAGUGUCUGGUGGGUAGUUUGACUGGGGCGGUCUCCUCCUAAAGAGUAACGGAGGAGCACGAAGGUCAGCUAAUCCUGGUCGGACAUCAGGAGGUUAGUGCAAUGGCAUAAGCUGGCUUGACUGCGAGCGUGACGGCGCGAGCAGGUGCGAAAGCAGGUCAUAGUGAUCCGGUGGUUCUGAAUGGAAGGGCCAUCGCUCAACGGAUAAAAGGUACUCCGGGGAUAACAGGCUGAUACCGCCCAAGAGUUCAUAUCGACGGCGGUGUUUGGCACCUCGAUGUCGGCUCAUCACAUCCUGGGGCUGAAGUAGGUCCCAAGGGUAUGGCUGUUCGCCAUUUAAAGUGGUACGCGAGCUGGGUUUAGAACGUCGUGAGACAGUUCGGUCCCUAUCUGCCGUGGGCGCUGGAGAAUUGAGGGGGGCUGCUCCUAGUACGAGAGGACCGGAGUGGACGCAUCACUGGUGUUCGGGUUGUCAUGCCAAUGGCAUUGCCCGGUAGCUAAAUGCGGAAGAGAUAAGUGCUGAAAGCAUCUAAGCACGAAACUUGCCCCGAGAUGAGUUCUCCCUGACUCCUUGAGAGUCCUGAAGGAACGUUGAAGACGACGACGUUGAUAGGCCGGGUGUGUAAGCGCAGCGAUGCGUUGAGCUAACCGGUACUAAUGAACCGUGAGGCUUAACCUUACAACGCCGAAG